GAACGGGUGAGUAACACGUGGGUAACCUGCCCAUCAGAAGGGGAUAACACUUGGAAACAGGUGCUAAUACCGUAUAACAAUCGAAACCGCAUGGUUUCGGUUUGAAAGGCGCUUUUGCGUCACUGAUGGAUGGACCCGCGGUGCAUUAGCUAGUUGGUGAGGUAACGGCUCACCAAGGCAACGAUGCAUAGCCGACCUGAGAGGGUGAUCGGCCACAUUGGGACUGAGACACGGCCCAAACUCCUACGGGAGGCAGCAGUAGGGAAUCUUCGGCAAUGGACGAAAGUCUGACCGAGCAACGCCGCGUGAGUGAAGAAGGUUUUCGGAUCGUAAAACUCUGUUGUUAGAGAAGAACAAGGAUGAGAGUAGAAAGUUCAUCCCUUGACGGUAUCUAACCAGAAAGCCACGGCUAACUACGUGCCAGCAGCCGCGGUAAUACGUAGGUGGCAAGCGUUGUCCGGAUUUAUUGGGCGUAAAGCGAGCGCAGGCGGUUUCUUAAGUCUG
Molecule: ribosomal RNA, 504 nt
Filed under: Enterococcus avium
Lineage: Bacteria; Bacillati; Bacillota; Bacilli; Lactobacillales; Enterococcaceae
Description: bacterial SSU rRNA
Rfam family: Bacterial small subunit ribosomal RNA
Source: RNAcentral